UGGGCCUGGCGCACCCCACCAAUUCUAGUUCAAUGAUUUUCUGGUUUCAGAAUGGUCUGGCGACAAGUGGGAUGUAGAAAGGGGACCCUACACCUUAUGUGUAGUUUGUUGUCCUCCUUGAAGUUUCUGUCUGACGUCUCAUAGUUUGUGGGAAAUCAAUCUCGAAUAAAUUAGCUAGCAAGUUUAAAUUUUAUAAUUAUAAGUGCUCUCGGGCACGUUGGUAUUGUGAACACACUUGAAAGCUUAAAUGUGAGCACCUAGUCAUGCAGAGCCCUUUAGGUUGUCCCUUUCUGUGUUGAAUUUGAAUAACUCAUCCGACAUCCACGAUUCUUGCUGACAUGAAAGCGCAUUUCUCGCUACUUUCUGCUCCUUGAUUUUAGUGACUUGAUCGUAUCUUCCUCUUCUGGGUUGAGUAGCAUUAAUUAGGAUAUAAUCUCCCUAAAUAAAAUGUUAAAUUUGAUAGAAAUAUAAUUUGUAUUGGAGACAUUGAUUUUUCAUCUUUCUUCUAUGUCCAAUCUCCUAAAUUGGUACUAAUCAAAUAUUUAUAUAGGAAAUGUGCUAUUUUUCGACACCCUAAUUUAGCUAUGCGAGAGUUCUGAUCAGAGAACUAAUUUCACGAAAGUGGUUAAUGUAAUAAGUAGAAUUUUGGUGAAGAACGGUGUACUAAAUUCCCAGGUCAAUUUUAGCUGGCCUUGACCAUCUUAGUGAAGUUUGUAUAGCAAAGAUAUUUCCAUGAUACUCCCUCUUCACCUUGAACUCCAACUUAAUAGUAAUUCAGUUUUGUAACACUAAUAAUUGAUAAUUUUUUUGAGAAAACGAGUUAUCGAUCUUCAAGAAAUGUGUACAAAAGAUCAGGAUUAUUUUUUCUGGAGCGAAAAAGGGUUUCGCCAUAUUGCUGUGCUUUACACUUUCAACCUGUUGAAAUCUUAAUCCGAAGACGUUUUGUGUAUGUAUUGGAAAUGGGAUAGGAGGAGGAUGAUUUUAAAGUUUCACUUUGUUGUCCCACAUGGAGUCUAGAGAAAGAGUGAGGAAAAUUUGAGUACCAUAAAAGAGCCGCCCUA
This 1061-nucleotide long non-coding RNA is filed under the name Olea europaea subsp. europaea. The record is from RNAcentral. Lineage: Eukaryota; Viridiplantae; Streptophyta; Magnoliopsida; Lamiales; Oleaceae.